CGAUUUCCAUAUGCGUUUCUUUAUUCACUGGCAAUUUCCAAUAAAUAUCUGACGUCGUUUAAAGCUAACGAUGCUUUACUUUCUUCCGCAUAUGUUUUCGCAUAUCAACUCCUCAAACCUUAUCAGAUAUCAACUGAGAGAACUCAGAAGACAGAAUCGAUCAUGAUUAAACUCUCUUUCACUCCUAUUACGAAGAUGGGCGUUUGCCGCAACUCAUUGGAUUCUUGUGAGUCCUUCGAUUCUUCCUAACAGUUGGAUUUUCCCCAAAGCUGGCACACAUGGCUUACACCCUAACGACAGAGGUAGAGAACAAGUUUCAAAUCAAACGAAUUCGUUUUCUCAAGACUCCUAAUGGUUGGUCGAUUUCUUCUUUCAAUUUGUUCUCCCAAUCUGUUUUUGAUUUAAUCUGAAACUCGAAUUAAGAAUUGAUUCAUGAUUGAGAUAGAGUAUGUGAAAUAGAUUUUUUUAUGUUAAGUUGUGAUUUGUGAAUCUCACAUGAUUUUUCAUUUACAACUAUAUUAAAAGAAGCCCACCAAGUGUUCGACAAAAUGUCAUCUCCUAUCAUACACUUUUUUUUUCAUUUUUAUAUGAAUCAAAUUGUAUGUUUUCCUCUAUAUUUGAAAGAUGUUGAUAUUGCUGUCAAAACCAGCUCGUAGUGGUCUUAAACACAAUGGAGGAAAAGACUGGGCAAAAGUUUCUGGAGCACAUCGUGUGUGUUCAGUUUUGUUGAAAUUUCAUCGGUCAACAUAACGCCAGAAAGGUUGCAACUUUAACCCUUUUUCAUCUUUCUAAUACUUCAUUCCUGCAAGACAUUAACCGUUUUUUCAUUUUUUAUUCAGGUGCUUUCUGUGGCUAUAUAUGUUGAAUGAAAAUUAUCAGUUUAUAUGUUGAAUUCUAGGUCAGGAGUAUAAAAAGAAAGAGGUAAGAAGGAAGAUGAGGAUGCUAUAGGUGCAGCAAUCUCACCAAGGUCAUCUUAGAAGGCUAAACAAUUUGAUAUCGGCAUUAUGAUAUGAAAGGUAGUUAAUGCCAACAUGGUUUGACUUAUAUUACUUAUAUAUGAUCUUAAAGAAAUUGUAUUCUACUAGUUUUAUUUCUGCUUAUAGCACCUACUGAUCUUUGCUAAUAUUAAAUUGUAAGAUUCUCUUACUUUUCCUACCGGAAGUGGUCUCCCAUGUGUUGACAUAAGUGAUUAAAUUAAUCUACCUGUUUACUAAAACUCUAAAAGCAUUUCCAACAUAGUGCACCUGUUUUUAACUUUUUUUUUCUUUGUAGAUUUUUAAAAUCUGUUAUCUUUUUAUAACGUUAAUUACAUCUUUUUUUAAUCAAAAUAUCUUUAUAAAUAUAUUGUUUCACAAUUAAAGAAAAACCAAAUUAAAGUUAUGUACUUUUAAUGGGCCCCAUUGGCUCGGGUUAGGCUACAAGGUUGUCUUUCUUAUUAUUUGUUUCCAUUGGUUUCUUAAGCAAAGGUCAGUUUGAAGUAUUCAUAACAAAGCCAUGCAUACUUGUUUGAGUUCUCGUUACAAAAGGUAAUAUUUCAUUUUUUUCUUUAAAUACCUUCGUGUAAUAAAUCUUAUCCUUAUAAGUUAUACACAACCUUACUAACUAAUGACUGAAAUACCCUUGUUGCAGGUUCCAUGAUCUGAAAAUCAUUUUUUCAUAAUAAUGGACAUGUUAAGAGCCCAAAAUAUUUGGGAUCAAAGGAUCUUAACAAAAACAAACUUUGUCCAAAGUCAAAUUUGCAAAGCCUUGUUGGAAUCUUUGCCUUCUCUUCAUGAUAAAUUGUUUGUCGCUGCAAUAGAGUCUGUGGUUAGAAUUUCUUAAAAACAAAGUAUUUUUGAAACUUGAAGAAUUGAAAGAAUCGUAGAAACUCUAGAAUUAUAGAUGUGGUUGUUGUAUAGCAUGUACUUAUCCUUUUUUUUUUCAAAAUGACAAAUGUAAUUAUAGUUAUCAUUUUUAAUAAAAAUUAGCAAUUGAGAUUCUUCGCUUUUGGUUGUAUUGUUUGUGAUUUGAACUUCCCUUUCCUUAUGUUCUUAAGGAUUGCCAUCUUUGGGACAAGGGCAAAAUCGUCCAACAACUUUAAAAACCAUCAAACUUAUGCCUAGAUUAACACAACACUAACCAAAAUAUCCUCAUACUUUUUUUUUUUCACAAAAUACCAUUAUACUUCCGUUUUU
This 2174-nucleotide long non-coding RNA is filed under the name Lactuca sativa (garden lettuce). Its description in RNAcentral is "long non-coding RNA (LSAT_LNC007095)". Lineage: Eukaryota; Viridiplantae; Streptophyta; Magnoliopsida; Asterales; Asteraceae. The record is from RNAcentral.